Molecule: long non-coding RNA, 326 nt
Organism: Octopus sinensis (East Asian common octopus)
Lineage: Eukaryota; Metazoa; Mollusca; Cephalopoda; Octopoda; Octopodidae
Exons: 3
Source: RefSeq, a predicted model, not a curated record
CUGAAUGUAAGGAGGAUGAAGAAAAGAAAAAGGACGGACAGUGAUGUGUACAUAAACAAGCAGAAGUAAAUCCAGCAACUAAUAGAAAACUAAAGAGUGAGACAGUGAGAAUGGAGGGCGAAAAGAGGAAUAGUCCGGAAUAUUGGGAGCAAAGAUGAAGCAUGGCUGAAAGGAUAGACUUAUAUGCUAUUGAAUAGACAAACCGAGUGAUCAAUUGUCAGAUUUUUGAAUAAACAAGCUUCGAGUUUACAAGGAAAAUAGAGAAAACUGAGUAUCAUGCCAACAAAAGAGAUUACGCCGGGAUAAUAGCGCUUCAGCACCGCUGG